AUCCCAUGAUGAGGACUCUUACGAAGUAACUCCUUGAACCUCUCCCAAGCCUUAUACAAAGACUCGUCAUCCAAUUGUUGGAAAGUUAUGAUCUUGUUCCUCAACUU
Molecule: non-coding RNA, 107 nt
Organism: Gossypium arboreum
Lineage: Eukaryota; Viridiplantae; Streptophyta; Magnoliopsida; Malvales; Malvaceae
Source: Rfam